GACGAACGCUGGCGGCGUGCCUAAUACAUGCAAGUCGAGCGGAAUGAUGAAGAAGCUUGCUUCUUCUGAUUUUAGCGGCGGACGGGUGAGUAACACGUGGGCAACCUACCUUGUAGAUUGGGAUAACUCCGGGAAACCGGGGCUAAUACCGAAUAAUCCAUUUUGCUUCAUGGCGAGAUGUUAAAAGGCGGCUUCGGCUGUCACUACGAGAUGGGCCCGCGGCGCAUUAGCUAGUUGGUAGGGUAAUGGCCUACCAAGGCGACGAUGCGUAGCCGACCUGAGAGGGUGAUCGGCCACACUGGGACUGAGACACGGCCCAGACUCCUACGGGAGGCAGCAGUAGGGAAUCUUCCACGAUGGACGAAAGUCUGAUGGAGCAACGCCGCGUGAGUGAAGAAGGUUUUCGGAUCGUAAAACUCUGUUGUAAGGGAAGAACACGUACGAGAGUAACUGCUCGUACCUUGACGGUACCUUAUUAGAAAGCCACGGCUAACUACGUG
RNAcentral lists this ribosomal RNA (500 nucleotides) under uncultured bacterium. RNAcentral's name for it is "bacterial SSU rRNA". It matches the Rfam family "Bacterial small subunit ribosomal RNA", at positions 28 to 507 of the family's 1533-position model. The record is from RNAcentral.